AGAGUGAAUCUGUUAAAAAAGAGAUAUUUACCCCGUUUGUUGUGAUCUUGUUUUUCUGUUUUGAUUUCAUUCGUACUAUGAAUGAUGGCAAGGUAAUAUUUUUUUCGGAAAUUUGUGUGUGGAUUUUCGGGACCAUUCAGACCGGACCAGAUCACUUAAUGGCAGCCGUCGGGAGCAGAGAGUUCUCCGAAAUAAUUUGGUUAAUCGUAUUCUACAGUUUGAAGCACAUUAUCAUGUAGUUCUACGUUUCGUUAAUCACAACAGCAACUUCUCCGGCCGGAGCAGGACCAAGUUACAGUUAAUCUACCGCGGAUGGAUCCUGGUCCGUUUGGUCAGCAGCAGCAGCAAACGUACCCAAAUCACAGAUAGUAGCAGCCGAUACAAAUGCCCUGAAAAGAUGGAAAAGCAUAUCCAAUGCACCCGGUGCAACGAGAAGUUGAAGGAAUUCGAAUAACUGAGCCGCAGAAACAGCGGUCUUAGACUGAGAGUUCGUACGAAUCAGGAAAAUCCGAAGAAAUGGUUCAGGUUGUGCGAUUGCCCUCUCGGCUGGGUAGCAGGCACAUGAUAGAGAUGGCUACUGAAACGAGUUUCAAAAACGCGAUUCCACGAUUCACUUAGAUACACAAAUAAAUUAGUU
Molecule: long non-coding RNA, 637 nt
Organism: Uranotaenia lowii
Lineage: Eukaryota; Metazoa; Arthropoda; Insecta; Diptera; Culicidae
Exons: 3
Source: RefSeq, a predicted model, not a curated record